This 253-nucleotide ribosomal RNA is filed under the name uncultured bacterium. RNAcentral describes it as "partial 16S ribosomal RNA". It matches the Rfam family "Bacterial small subunit ribosomal RNA", at positions 524 to 776 of the family's 1533-position model. The record is from RNAcentral.
UACGUAGGGUGCAAGCGUUGUCCGGAAUUAUUGGGCGUAAAGAGCUUGUAGGCGGUUUGUCGCGUCUGCUGUGAAAUUUCGGGGCUCAACCCCGAACUUGCAGUGGGUACGGGCAGACUAGAGUGUGGUAGGGGAGACUGGAAUUCCUGGUGUAGCGGUGAAAUGCGCAGAUAUCAGGAGGAACACCGGUGGCGAAGGCGGUUCUCUGGGCCUUACCUGACGCUGAGGAGCGAAAGCGUGGGGAGCAAACAGG